Molecule: long non-coding RNA, 3564 nt
Organism: Astyanax mexicanus (Mexican tetra)
Lineage: Eukaryota; Metazoa; Chordata; Actinopteri; Characiformes; Acestrorhamphidae
Exons: 2
Source: RefSeq, a predicted model, not a curated record
UUAUCUUGAUCCUGACUCGCCAUUUCUGCCUCUUCUCCGUUUGUGUCGAGUGUCACUGGUGUGCUUCGGCACACGUGUAAAAACACUGGCUCUGAUUGGCUACCACCUCUGUCCCGCAUAACUCGCCACCUGAUUGGCCGAGCCGCACGCAGCGAGAGGCUCCUGGCUGAUGCUGAACUGGGGCAGUUCAGUUCCACCACUGGGGUCACUAUGGUAACCGGUGUAGACAAUGCAGUGCAGCUCUCCCACAGAACGCUGCCCCGUUCGAGUUAUGACGUCAUAGCCACGAUUGUCUAUAUAUAUAGAGAGCUUGUGCACUCUAUUCAGUAAAGUACAGUAAAGUACUGAAUACAGCAGAGGAGGAUUCAGGAUGAGAAGCACAAUAGCGAUAGAAAAGAAGCGUCUUCAGUCAUAUAUUAGUCAAACGGAGGCCAGUAUAAGAAGGAGAUUGGAGGAGAAUAAUUCAGAAUUGAAUAAACUUCACGAUCAAAUAAUGACAGAAAGGCAGAGGUCCAAUAAACGUAUUCAAGAUAUGCAUUGUGAGCUGGAGAGGUUAGAGAAGUGGGCUGAAAAUAAAAUAAAAUACAUUGACGAUGAGAUUGAGGAAGUAAAUAACAGGGCUAGUAGAACAAUGAAUGAACUGACAGCAGAGAUGAAAACAGAGAUGGGAUCAGUGGGGGAGGCUGAGCGUAAUGAAAUCGUUGCCGCGAUAGAGAUAAUAUUUAAACAUUCUGAGCAACAGAUAACAAGACUAGAAGUCAAGAAGAAGGCAGCAAAUGAUACGUAUUCUAAAGGCUGGAGAAAACUGCGGGAACAGAUCGAUAAUGAAACGGAAAAGAGCAAUGACCAUGGUUUGAGACUAAUGAAGAUAAUGGUCAGAACACAAAAAGCCUGUGUGGAAUACAUUGACAAAGAGAAGGCUGACAUGAAACAGCAUAUAGCAGAUUCUUCAAGAUACAUUGAUUCAUUGGAAAAGCAGAAAAGAAAAGCUGAGCUACCAUGGCUGUGUGCUGCUGCGCUCUCUGCUUUAGGUCUGCUUGCUUUUGCAUUUUUAAUGAGGUAGUGCGCCUCCAGGCGCUGAACACGUGCUAAAAUCACCGGAGAGCGGCUCGCUCCAGGCGCUGAACACGGGCUAAAACCACCGGAGAGCGGCUCGCUCCAGGCGCUGAACACGGGCUAAAACCACCGGAGAGCGGCUCGCUCCAGGUGCUGAACACGGGCUACAACCACCGGAGAGCGGCUCGCUCCAGGUGCUGAACACGUGCUAAAAUCACCGGAGAGCGGCUCGCUCCAGGCGCUGAACACGGGCUAAAACCACCGGAGAGCGGCUCGCUCCAGGUGCUGAACACGGGCUACAACCACCGGAGAGCGGCUCGCUCCAGGUGCUGAACACGUGCUAAAAUCACCGGAGAGCGGCUCGCUCCAGGUGCUGAACACGGGCUAAAACCACCGGAGAGCGGCUCGCUCCAGGUGCUGAACACGGGCUACAAGCACCGGAGAGCGGCUCGCUCCAGGUGCUGAACACGGGCUACAACCACCGGAGAGCGGCUCGCUCCAGGUGCUGAACACGGGCUAAAACCACCGGAGAGUGGCUCGCUCCAGGUGCUGAACACGGGCUAAAACCACCGGAGAGCGGCUCGCUCCAGGCGCUGAACCUAGCUGAACAUACGAUUUACUAAAAUAAAACCAUCGGAAGAAAAAGUUGCUGUUUUUACUUACAGGCUGUGAGAUGGUGGUCGAUCGUUGUGACGGUACAGAUUUUGCGCCCCUGACUUUUGACAUUGAUGUGAUGCCAUAAAAUGAUGCCCACCAACAACAGCAUCAUGUGGGCAAUGUUAGUGUACAUUACAGUAUAGUGAGUGAACACAGUGUUUAAAACCCCCUCAUACCACCUGAGAAUGACCCACCAGUAAUAGUGGAGCCAAUAAGAUAGACAGUGAGUGUAGGAACAAGGUGGUGAUCAUAAUAUUUUGAUUUGACUGUAUUUAGUAUUUGUGUGAACAAAUUUAUAGAUUCAUUUAUUGGCAGUGUCUGUGCAAUAACACUAACUGUUCCAAAUGGUCUGAACAAUAUCAGCAGCAUCACUUGUAUCAUUUUCCAUCUGGUGUAUUAAAACAUUCAAAGAACCUUGCAAGUUUUCACAUUUUAAACUGAAUUACUGAAAUAAAGUAACGUCUUUUUUUUUUAUAUGCACUAGUUUUCACAGUACUGUACCAUAACAAAGCAUUGACAGGUACAGUAUAUAUAAUUAAUUAAUUAAAACAAUGACGAAUCAAUAAUACAAUAAAUACAAAAAUCACAGCACAAUCAGACAAUAACCACAUGAAAUUGGUUUGAAAAGUGAAGCUUUUUAUUUAUUACUUUUGAACCUUUUAUAUGAAAUAUACAUGACGUUGGCCCAAUCACAACCGAAACCCAUCUUUAAAGAGAAGAAGAGCAUAUCUGCCACCUCCUCAUGUGACUUCUCCAAGAAUCACAGAUCACCUGCAUGGUCACAUUCUAUGGGGAGCUGGGAAACAAAGCAUUAAUAAGUACCUUAAUGGUCCCUCUGUGGAGUGCAGUGUUUUAACUCCAACAUGACCUCCACCACUCGAUAAAUCAAGAGUGUUAACAGAAAUUGGGAAACUGCAGAGUGCAUCUGAACACUAUGGGUCAGUUAAACAUAGGGAUUAAGUCUAGCCAAAGACUUUAUUUUUCAUUUUAAUUAAAAAUCUCCAUUAAAAAUGCUGUGUAGUAGAUUUAUGAGACAAAAACAGUGUGAAAAACAACAAAUGCAGCAAGUUUGUAAACUCAUCUGUUCUUCUUCUAUUCCUUAUCCUAGCCUGAUCUCCUUUCUGCCCUUUCUUCUACCUUUCUUGGCCCUUCAACUCCCAACAGCCUUCAACUCUUAACACAUUCACAGGUCCUUCUAAGAACAUCAGAAACCAUCUCCGGUACCUUUCAGCACCUUUCUAUUAACAUUUUCUAUUAACACUGCUUCUGUUCUGCACUGUAGCACAGUCUUCAUUCAGCAUGUCAAUCAACAUUCACCAAUAAAGCUUGCCCCCUGUUGUACAGUGUACAGUAUGGCUAGGUACAACCAGGGACCUUUGUAAUUUCAAUUAUUUUUUUUGAUGAGGCCAAACGACUGCACAGACAUUCAGUUUAAUGCGUUCCUCACAUGACGUGAUCUAGCAUGAGUACUGUGCUGCUCUGAGCAACAAAUCAAUUAAUCAACCAAUCAAUCAAUGUAUCACAGUCACAAGCCAAAUGAACACUAGAACAAAUUCUACAUUGGCCCCGUUUUUAAGACUAGCUCAUUUUGGCUGAGAAAAAAAAAACUAAACUCAACAAAGAAAGCCUACACAAAAAACAAAAAACAAAAAAAACAUAUCCCAAUAACUCAGUAACCAUCGAUAUCAUUUAUAUACCCAACUGACAGAACCAAUCCGCCAUCAGAACAUAAAUUUAUGACAAAAACUAAAAUCAGGAGAUCAAACAAGAAUGGUAAACCGUGGGCCCCAAAUAAAGAGACACAUUUAUACACAAAGUCCAGUUUUAUAACAUCAUUUUGGACAUUGGCUC